CCCUCAAAAGAUAAAUAGGACUAGCAAGCCAAAAGAUAUUAUAUGACUAGGCCGUUGGAGCCACAAUGUCUACGGUACGAUACAUGACCAUACUAUACUUUACGUAGUCUACAAAGCCUCUAGACAAGAAACGUUAUCUUAUAAGGGUCGGGACAGGCCCCGCCUCAUGAUAAGAUACUAUACAAUGCAAAAAGAUAUGAUAAGACUCAAAGCCCCGAAGCAACCUGGAGCUCAGUGACUGCGGUUGAUAUCCUGUACUCUUACUAGGGAGGUUUAUUAGCUUCUGUACCUGCAGCAUGGAAUGCAGGUCCCCCAAGAGGGACGUCAGUACGAAAUAAUGUACUGAAUAUGUAAGGCAACAUGUACUAUAUAUGAGAUAAAAACUCAAAUGAAACCAUGUACUGCUGUAGGGUAAAAGACCACCUUUAUGAAUAUUGUGGAGUCAUGUAUCUUAUAACAAUUAUGUUACUUUACUCUUAUUACUUGAAUAAUCUGUGCACAGCAUGUAAUACAAAUGACCAGCUGAUCAGUGGUAAUUCUAUAUCAGGAUCGACCCAUGCUAGGCUUUCCUUUCACCCCUGGGAUACCCCCUGUAAUACUGGGAUUGACCCAUGCUAGGUGAUUCUUUCACCCCUGGGAUACCACCCAACAGAAGCAACUGUAUACAUAUAUCUUCUUAUUACUUUUGAGAUGAAUCUUUGGUGGUCGUAACAUUUGAGCUAUAAGACUAUAAGCAUGACAAAUGACAAGUAUGUGUCCAUGUAACAUCAUAUCAUAAUGAAAAGAGUGGGUUGUACAAUUAGUGAAACAUGUAGGACAUAAACAACGUAUGAACUUUAUUUAGCUAAAAAGAAGACUCAUAUGUCAUGGUACCCAAUGUAUGUAUGCAGCAGUGACAAUGCUCGAAUCUGGACACACAAGUACAUGUUAAAGAGUGGAGUGGUUAUGUCAAAGUUUGUAAAGAUCUCUAUGUGCCAAUGAAGACUUUGGAUUCCAUGCCAAAUAAUAAGAGAUCGAAUAGCCUUACAUACCUCGACAUAUCAACUUGUUUUUACGUCGAAAUGACUUCUUUUCUUCCAACUAUUUAUCUACAAUAUCAUGUUUUAAAGCUAGUAUUAGCAGCUAAUCAAUGCAUCUGGACAGCCCAAUCUCACAAGACACAACACUUUGGCAACAAACGUAUAACCAUCAACUCAAUGGUGUUAUUCCGACUUUCUCUCAGUUGAAUUAACCUAUUCAUGUAGCCUUUAGUCCCUGAUAUCUGUUCUGUUUUUUACUAUAAUUUAGAUGUUCUUACGUCUUAUAUCUUAUAGUUCAUAUUAGGGUUCUGUCCUUUAGAGAAAUCCUGAUUUAUUCUGUCAUUAAUUACUAUAUAUAAUAAGAGGGAGCUAACAUGCCGAAGCAGGCAGCACGUCACUAUGUCUGCUUAUGCUGCCUGUUUCAACUGCUUCAACCAUAAUUUUACUAUAUCAGUUUUAAUUAAGUAUUAUAAGUCAUUUAUGUAUUACAAAAUUAAUAAUAUUUAAUUAAAAAAAAGUAAAAUAAAUAUUUAUAACAUGUAUGUUUCAGCUGCUUCAAUCAUAAUUUUACUAUGUCACCCUAAUUACUUAUUAUAAGUCAUCUAAGUAUUAAAAAUUAAUAAUAAUUAAUUAAAAAAAUAAAAUAGACUUAAAAUGAUAAAUUAACUCUUGAUGUUUUAACUAACAUGACAUCUUAUAUGAGGCUUACUUAAGUUUUUCCACAAAUAUUUUUUAUAGUAAUUUGAUUAUACCACUUUUAAUUAGUUAUUAUAAGUCAUUUGAGUAAAUACAUAAAGUAGCCACAAAAAUUGUCUCAAGUAAACACUUAAAAUUUACGGGCAUCUAUUACCCUGUUGAACAAUUUAAAAAUAAAAAAAUAUCUCUUUUUUUAGCCAAUAUCAGCUGCAAGAAAAGAAAUACAACCACACAUCAAUUAUUAUUUGCUAUGCUUUUCUUACUUUAUAUGUUUUUCUUUUCCUUUUUUUUUUGUUAGUCUUUCUCUCUCCUCUAUGAACUUUCAAUUACCCUCUAUAUUUUACCAUUGAUAAAUAUCCACCUUUGACGACCUCUUCUUAACCUCUCUCAUUUUAUUUUGUUUUGUCUUUUCCAAAUAGCUCUAAUCUUUUUAUUAUUAAUUAUUUUACUUUAUUUAAAUAGAUGCUUAAAUAAGGUGGGUUGAGAGAUACGAUUGAAUUUUUUUCUAUAUCGUUAUCAUUCUAAUCAUCUUCCUCAUUACAAUUACUGCUAAAUUAUCAUUGGAUUAUCAUCAAAUUAAAAUUUAAAAAUAAAAUAUAAUUAUGUUGAAUCAAAAUUUUUUUAAAAUUAAAUCUUAUAAUUUUUUUAACCAAAAAAUCAUAGUUUCAUAACAAAAAUUAAAAGAAAAACAGUAGAGUUUAGUAAUGGAUUGAAUAUAAACUUAAGGUGAAAGAACUUGAAAGCGAGGAGAAAGAAAGAAAGAAAAAAGAGAAGCAAAAAGAUAUUGAAAAAAUGAAAGAAAAUGGUGAAGAGUUGGAUGAAGAAGAUAAAAGAAAAAAUAAUAAAAUAGUAAACUAAAAUUAAUAAAUAUUUUUAGUCAAAUAAAUGUUGAUUUAAAAAAAAAAACUACUAUAUUUUUACUUGUUUCACACUUUAUCGAAGAGAAGUACACUUUCCAUAUCGAAUGGGGUCAAAAGAGGGUAUUUAUAAUAGUCUUUAUAAGUUUUGUUGGGUAAUAGGACACCACAAAUUUAAAGUGUCUUUUUUAAAAUAUGGGACAACUUUAGUGGUGUCUUUAUGUCUUGUCUCUAAGUCAUUUAAGACAUAUAUGCUUCGCUACUUCAAUCAUAAUUUUGUUGUAUCAUCUCUAAUUAAUUAUUAUGGUCAUUUAAGCAUUGUAUCACUUAAAUUGAAAUAGAAGGUAAAGUAUUUUAAAUCACUAUGAUAAAAAAUUUAAAUUAUUUAAAAAAUAUAAUUGACUAUCGAUGCAAUAAAAGUUUGGACCUGGAGAGUAACAUAUAUUAUUUAAAAUUACAUAAAAAGUAUAAUAAAUUACAAUAAUUAACAGUUUAAAAUAUCUUUAAAAAAAUAAAAUGUUAUAUAUUUUAAAAAAUACAUACAAAAUAUUAUAAAUUACAACAAUUAAUAACUUAAAAAAUUUAAAGGUCAACCUGACUGCUUUGGCACAACUACUUGGUCCUUUUCCUCGCCUUCAUUUUAAUUUAUUUGCCUUAUUUUCUUUAUUUGUUGUAUAUUUCAAAAGAAUACGAAAAAAAGUACUAUAAAUCACAAUAAUUAACAACUUAAGAAAAUUUAAAAGAUAUAAAAAUUUGACCAACUCUUGAAAUUAUAUUAGUGUCACUUAAAUAGAAAUAGAAGAAAAAUAUUAUAAGUCCCAAUAAUUUAAAAUUUAAAUUAUUUUUAAAAUAUAAUUGACGAUCAAUUGUUGUUGUUGUUGACUAUCAAUGCCAUAAAGUUUGAACAAGAAAAUAACAUAUACUAUUUGAAAAUUACAUUAAAAAAAAUAUUAUAAAUUAUAAUAGUUAACAACUUAAAAUAUAUUUUGGUGUGCAUGGUGGUUUUGGUUUCGGAGAGAGGAAUGACGAGGGAGCUGCUCUGUUGGAUUUUGUGAGGUCUUUUGGGUUGGUAGUGGUGAAUUCGAGCUUUCCGAAGAAGGACGAUCACCUGAUUACCUUCCGAAGCGCGAUAGCCAAGACCCAAAUUAACUUUUUGCUGCUUAGGAAAGAGGUUAAGGUGUUGUGUAAGGACUAUAAAGUCAUUCCGAGUGAGAAUUUUUCAACUCAAAAUAGGCUUUUGGUAAUGGUGUCACGCCCCAAAUCCUAUUAAGGCGGACUGGCACCCGUUGCCGGUAAGGCUCGGGAGAACCAACCUGUAGCGAUACAUUACCUAUGAACAUUAUAAGUUACUUUCAUACUAAACAUGCCCUCAAAAGAUAAAUAGGACUAGCAAGCCAAAAGAUAUUAUAUGACUAGGCCGUUGGAGCCACAAUGUCUACGGUACGAUACAUGACCAUACUAUACUUUACGUAGUCUACAAAGCCUCUAGACAAGAAACGUUAUCUUAUAAGGGUCGGGACAGGCCCCGCCUCAUGAUAAGAUACUAUACAAUGCAAAAAAAUAUGAUAAGACUCGAAGCCCCGAAGCAACCUGGAGCUCAGUGACUGCGGUUGAUAUCCUGUACUCUUACUAGGG
Molecule: long non-coding RNA, 4207 nt
Filed under: Capsicum annuum
Lineage: Eukaryota; Viridiplantae; Streptophyta; Magnoliopsida; Solanales; Solanaceae
Description: long non-coding RNA (CANN_LNC011219)
Source: RNAcentral